GGCUCAGGACGAACGCUGGCGGCGUGCCUAACACAUGCAAGUCGAACGGGACUAUAUUGAUUAAUCUUCGGAAGCGUUGGUAUAGUUUAGUGGCGGACGGGUGAGUAACACGUGAGCAACCUGCCUUUCAGAGAGGGAUACCGUUUGGAAACGAACGCUAAUACCUCAUAACGUAUCGUGACCGCAUGAUCGUGAUACCAAAGGAGCGAUCCGCUGAAAGAUGGGCUCGCGGCUGAUUAGAUAGUUGGUGGGGUAACGGCCUACCAAGUCGACGAUCAGUAGCCGGACUGAGAGGUUGAACGGCCACAUUGGGACUGAGACACGGCCCAGACUCCUACGGGAGGCAGCAGUGGGGAGUAUUGCGCAAUGGGGCAACCCUGACGCAGCAACGCCGCGUGUGGGAAGAAGGUCUUCGGAUUGUAAACCAUUGUCUUCGGUGACGAUAAUGACGGUAGCCGAGGAGGAAGCUCCGGCUAACUACGUGCCAGCCGCAGC
Molecule: ribosomal RNA, 495 nt
Filed under: uncultured bacterium
Lineage: Bacteria
Description: bacterial SSU rRNA
Rfam family: Bacterial small subunit ribosomal RNA
Source: RNAcentral